RNAcentral lists this unclassified non-coding RNA (219 nucleotides) under Hevea brasiliensis (rubber tree). Lineage: Eukaryota; Viridiplantae; Streptophyta; Magnoliopsida; Malpighiales; Euphorbiaceae. The record is from RNAcentral.
CUUCAAUAAUCUCUGAACAAAUUCAACAGCAUCAGUUGGCCCAAAUACCCCCCAUAAACCAUCACAACCAAGAAUGAUGAAGUGUUCUCUGUCUGUCAGGUCAAAAGAAUGAAUAUCUGGAGUUGCAACAACGCCCACCUGCAACUCACUCUUAUUUUAGAUAGCAACAUAUCAUACAUUAUAGGUUCCUUAAUAUGGUUUUGCAACCCGUAAAAAUUC